GCGCGGGUGGCGGAAUUGGCAGACGCGCUGGAUUUAGGUUCCAGUGUCCAUGGACGUGGGGGUUCGAGUCCCCUCCCGCGCA
This 82-nucleotide transfer RNA is filed under the name Actinomyces sp. Its description in RNAcentral is "tRNA-Leu". It matches the Rfam family "tRNA". Rfam says of the family: Transfer RNA (tRNA) molecules are approximately 80 nucleotides in length. Their secondary structure includes four short double-helical elements and three loops (D, anti-codon, and T loops). Lineage: Bacteria; Bacillati; Actinomycetota; Actinomycetes; Actinomycetales; Actinomycetaceae. The record is from RNAcentral.